Long non-coding RNA from Branchiostoma floridae (Florida lancelet), 1834 nucleotides. RefSeq lists it as uncharacterized. The transcript has 3 exons. NCBI's taxonomy places the organism in Eukaryota, Metazoa, Chordata, Leptocardii, Amphioxiformes, Branchiostomatidae. The record is from RefSeq and is a predicted model, not a curated record.
UUUGUGACACUGAGGGCCUCUCGUCCAUCAAUUCGUCUGAAAAGAAGGCAUUGAAAGCCUCUAAAUUGAGCGGUGUAGUCUUUCGCGUCAUCGGUCAGUUUUGCCAUUGAUUAGUGGUGACCUUUGACCUCUAAAGUAUAUGUAAACAACGCCAGGUAUUCUCAGUAACCCCCCACGAUUCAAAAUCCUGAAAAGAAUAAUUACCAUGACCUCAGAAGGUGGAAUUUUCCAUCACAUGAUCGUAUGAUGACCUCUGUCCUUGGUGCUGAUUGGAUGUUAGUGCGUAUGUAUAUGCCCAUGUAUGGUGGUGAAAAGGCCCGCCUACUCGACCCUUGCCAAGGCUGAAUUGAAGAGAUUCCGUGUCAAGGAUAAUGUUUACAUGCCCUUUGGUGGUUUCAAUGAAGGAGAACUCAGACGACGCUUGUAAGGCGAGGUGAAGUGAGGGGGCGAGUUUGGGUUAUGUCUGGAGUCUGGACUGUAGUUUCAGUGUGUAGUCUAGGCUCUUUGGGCUGUUACAAGGACUUUCAAACAUACUGGGGGACUUCGCCUAACGCCUGAGUAUCACACAUUGACGCAACCCUUUCACGAUGAUCGGACCCGACCAGUCCACGUGCUCCGGUUUGGAGCGGGACCAACCGAAUGAUGACCCGAGCGGGGAAGACCUAAGCAGCAGGGAGCAAGAGUUUCAGCUGGCGAUGGCCUGUCUACUUACCUCACCCGUCAUGAACGAAGUGGAGAGGAGACCGCGGAAGAAAGAUCGUGUGAAACGACUCAAGAGAAAGAGGAAGAGUAAAGGCAAGCAGAAGAAGAACAUCGCUCAGCAACCAAGGGAAAAGGACAAUACCCCCAGUUCAAAAAGAACAAGCAGAUAGCAUAUAAAAAUAUAAGUCAUGCACUGUAAAUAUUUAUCUUGAUAUAUAUUUUAACACGUUUGUACAACAAAGUAUAAUGUACAUAUGGUUAAUGCAAUGAGGAAACUGUUUGAAUCGAUUUUUUGUAGUUGUAAUAUUAAUGUGUUUAAACAGCUUAUAAAUGAUACGAAUUUGAUAUUUUCUUUACAAUCUACAGUUUAUCUUGAUAGCCAGCUCAAAAGGUCCUCGAAAUCCAAUAUGGCGGUAAAAAUAGCUCAGCCUUGAAAUCCACGUCAUCGGGGGUUAGUGGCACCGGCUAAUCAAACGGCGACAGUUGAACUUCUAACCGUUAACGCAAUCAAUAGCGUCCGAUACAGCCUAACGGGGUCCCGGUGUAAUUCUGUUAGCAAAGACCGGGCCCGACUGUUAGCUCGUGUUAUAGACUGUUCGCUGAUGGAAUUGUUAUCGAUGUGGAGGCUGAUUGUGGGCGAUUUAGCGUGGAUGCUAUCCGAGUUUACAUAAAACUGAUUACACUUGUGCUCUCUGACUGAUCGCGCAUAGUAGGGUCUGUAUUCAAAGGAAGAGACAUUACGUAUUGCAUUUAUGAAGAUGCUUACAGAUAAUUAUGUUUAACUUCACGGAAGAGAAACAUAUUGUUUUUGAGCUAUUUCUUCUCCAAACAAAUGAGGUCAGUGUUCUAGACCAGAUGGCUGUCACCAUGGUUACUGGAAGUUUAAGACACCCUGUGGUGUUCGAUUUCAAAGUCGAAAAUAUACCAAAUGGCAGGACAGAGCUGGUGAUUGAGUAAGAGUAAGCAGUAGAUUGUUAGGAUAUAACAUGUAAAGGUAAAUAUUAUGUUGCCUUUCGAGUAUAGAUGUACGUUACAUCAACUCACAAUGUAUAGUUUCUUACAUGUUGGAAGUAUUUGAUACAUUGAUGUAUAACUAUGAGUAAUCAUGGCUGAAUAAAAGUAUUUCAAGUUA